AUUGAACGCUGGCGGCAGGCCUAACACAUGCAAGUCGAGCGGAUGAAGGGAGCUUGCUCCUGUAUUCAGCGGCGGACGGGUGAGUAAUGCCUAGGAAUCUGCCUGGUAGUGGGGGAUAACGUCCGGAAACGGGCGCUAAUACCGCAUACGUCCUGAGGGAGAAAGUGGGGGAUCUUCGGACCUCACGCUAUCAGCUGAGCCUAGGUCGGAUUAGCUAGUUGGUGGGGUAAAGGCCUACCAAGGCGACGAUCCGUAACUGGUCUGAGAGGAUGAUCAGUCACACUGGAACUGAGACACGGUCCAGACUCCUACGGGAGGCAGCAGUGGGGAAUCUUGGACAAUGGGCGAAAGCCUGAUGCAGCCAUGCCGCGUGUGUGAAGAAGGUCUUCGGAUUGUAAAGCACUUUAAGUUGGGAGGAAGGGCAGUAAGUUAAUACAUUGAUGUUUUGACGUUACCAACAGAAUAAGCAACGGCUAACUUCGUG
This 484-nucleotide ribosomal RNA is filed under the name uncultured bacterium. RNAcentral describes it as "partial 16S ribosomal RNA". It matches the Rfam family "Bacterial small subunit ribosomal RNA", at positions 30 to 507 of the family's 1533-position model. The record is from RNAcentral.